This 253-nucleotide ribosomal RNA is filed under the name uncultured bacterium. RNAcentral's name for it is "partial 16S ribosomal RNA". It matches the Rfam family "Bacterial small subunit ribosomal RNA", at positions 524 to 776 of the family's 1533-position model. The record is from RNAcentral.
UACGUAGGGGGCAAGCGUUGUCCGGAUUUAUUGGGCGUAAAGAGCGUGUAGGCGGCCAGACAGGUCUGCUGUGAAAACUCGAGGCUCAACCUCGAGACGCCGGUGGAAACCGUUUGGCUAGAGUCCGGAAGAGGAGAGUGGAAUUCCUGGUGUAGCGGUGAAAUGCGCAGAUAUCAGGAGGAACACCGGUGGCGAAGGCGGAUCUCUGGGCCGUAACUGACGCUGAGGAGCGAAAGCAUGGGGAGCGAACAGG